UCGAGACCGAACGAACGGACGACCGCGAACGUGUUAUUAUUAUCUUACCAACUCAUCUCCGGCUCGUCCGCGUCGCUCCUCACGGCGCGGCGCGACGAGACGGAGGGAACGAAACCCCGGCGCAGUGGGCGCCAAGGAGCACUUUUCGGAAGCGCCGUCGCGGCCUCCUCCCCCUCCCCUUGUCGUGCUGCUGCUGCUGCUGCGUAUAUAUACACGCACGCACGCACGCACACAACAACAACGGUAGGAAGGAGGGCGGAACGCGGGCGUGGAUAUAGAUAUCGUAUUUUGUACGACUCUCGGCAACGGAUAUCUAGGCUCUCGCAUCGAUGAAGAACGUAGCGAAAUGCGAUACUUGGUGUGAAUUGCAGAAUCCCGUGAACCAUCGAGUCUUUGAACGCAAGUUGCGCCCGAGGCCAUCCGGUCGAGGGCACGCCUGCCUGGGCGUCACGCCUCCCGUCGCUCCCCACCACAGUCGUGGUGCGGAUGCGGAGAUUGGCCCACCGUGCCCCGUGCGCGGCGGGUCGAAGUGCGGGCCGUCGUCGGGCCGUGCGCGGCGAAUGGUGGACGAAUACAGCUGCAGCAUCGCUGUCUGUCUGUUUGUUUGUGCCUACUCUCCGUGCCUCGGCCCCCAACCAAGAAAGCGACGUGCCGUCGUCGGACCCCAUACCGUGGACUGCUCGUCCUCGGAACG
RNAcentral lists this unclassified non-coding RNA (694 nucleotides) under Crocus alatavicus. RNAcentral describes it as "sequence contains ITS1, 5.8S rRNA gene and ITS2". The stretch from base 295 to 450 matches the Rfam family "5.8S ribosomal RNA". Lineage: Eukaryota; Viridiplantae; Streptophyta; Magnoliopsida; Asparagales; Iridaceae. The record is from RNAcentral.